RNAcentral lists this ribosomal RNA (315 nucleotides) under uncultured eukaryote. RNAcentral's name for it is "partial 18S ribosomal RNA". It matches the Rfam family "Eukaryotic small subunit ribosomal RNA", at positions 1470 to 1796 of the family's 1831-position model. The record is from RNAcentral.
CCCCUAGAUGUUCUGGGCCGCACGCGCGCUACACUGACCAGUGCAACAAGCAUCCGUCCUUGGCCGACAGGCCCGGGCAAUCUUUGAACGCUGGUCGUGAUGGGGAUAGACUUUUGCAAUUUUUGGUCUUCAACGAGGAAUUCCUAGUAAACGCAAGUCAUCAACUUGCAUUGAUUACGCCCCUGCCCUUUGUACACACCGCCCGUCGCACCUACCGAUUGAAUGGUCCGGUGAAGCCUCCGGAUUGGCGCGCACCUCGGUGCCGCCGAGAAGUUGGCUAAACCUUACCAUUUAGAGGAAGGUGAAGUCGUAACA